AUAUAGAUACUUGUACCUAUUUCAGCCAGCAUCUUCACAAUGUCCUUUGAUGUUGUUCUGGGAUUGAUUUGCACUUUUCGCACCAAAGUACGUUCAUCUCUAGGAGACAGAAUGCAUCUCCUUCCUGAGCGUUAUGAUGGCUGUGUGGUUCGAUGGUGUUUAUACUUGCGUACUCUUGUUUGUACAGAAGAACGUGGUACCUUCAGGCGUUUGGUUCACCCUUGGGAGCAGUUUCCAGACUUGUGAAAGUCUACAAAUGUUUUUCUGAGGUUUUGGCUGAUUUCUUUUGAUUUCCCCAUGAUGUCAAGCAAAGAGGCACUGACUUUGAAGGUAGGCCUUGAUAUACAUCCACAGGUACACCUUCAAUUGACUCAAAUGAUGUCAAUUAGCCUAUCAGAAGCUUCUAAAGCUGCCAUUUUCUGGAAUUUUCCAAGCUGUUUAAAGGUACAGUCAACUUAGUGUAUGUAAACUUCUGACCCACUGGAAUUGUGAAACUAAUCUGUCUGUAAACAAUUGUUGGAAAAAUGACUUGUGUAAUGCACAAAGUAGUGUCUUAACCGACUUGCCAAAACUAUAGUUUGUUAACAAUAAAUUUGUGGAGUGGUUGAUAAACGAGUUUUAACGAGCUAAGUGUAUGUAAACUUCCGACUUCAACUGUACCUAGCUCGGAUUUGGCUUGGAAACAUGAUAACAUGUUCAAAAGAAGGCAAAUAAUUAGUAGGAGAACCCUUUGUCAUGAUUGAUGUUGCCAGAUUGACUUUAGAUGCAGUGUAACUUUAGCCAGCUUAGAUUGAGGGGUCCACCGUAUUUUAGCUAGCUAACAUUAACAUUGCUAGCUAUUUUGACAAACUUUGCUAGUAACAGUAAUGGUAACAUUUCUAUCUCUCCAAAGUAAUUUUGAUGACAUAUGGCAGAGUUGUUUCCUGCUUACUGUUUGCCUACUUUAGUAAUGUCAUCGUAUUUCCAUGCCAUUAGAAGUUAGUGUAAAUUAGACUGAACUGUCACAUGAGCCUCCAAGGUGCAACCCAUGUCUAGGGCACAAAUAAAUAUUGGAUGCAUCUGUGGUGGUACUAGUUAAUUCAUGUCUGACUACAACUGUGUACUAACUAGCAGCAACAAACCCAAACCAACCCAGGGCCAUGGCAAAACAUGUCAUAGUGUAACUGCAUCACUGGACUGAAUCUAUUCCAAUCUGGAGCCAGUCAGUCUACAUCUGUAAAGCAUAGAAUUAGCUAGUGACCUGAGUUACUGCCCUAUUGACAACGACGGGUUAUGUGAAAAGUUGUAUUCAAAAAUAUCUGGCUUGAUAAACAAUUAGUCUAAUUCCCCAGCCAAGCAAAUACAACUAGUAUUUUGGUUGUGAAGUGCAUUAGCAAAACGCUUUAUCCUUUCUUUAGAAGAAAAUGUAAUAUACCACUUGGCUGUCUUAUAUCACCCUGUCACAGGCCCUCCCAGUUGACACCACCUCAUAAGAUUGUCUACUGCAGUUGUUCAAGAGAUGUCCAGUUUGCAAACAUGCAGCGUAGAGAUACCAGCAUGGGGACCGUCAUCAAAAUCAAAUCUAAUUUUAUUUGUCACAUGCGCCGAAUACAACAGGUGUAGACCUCACCGUGAAAUGCUUACUUACAAGCUCUCACUGUGUGCAUUCCUAUGAAUGGAACAGUCCUCCACAUGUUGGCAAGUAUCCGGCCAGCAACCUUCACCUGUCAGCGGCAACCGCUUUCACAGGCUCAUAAUUUGUACAAAUACAGAAGGUAACCCACUUCAUUACUUUGAUGACCCAAUUGUGAAACAUAAUUUGUAAACGGACCUUUGUUGCUUUUUUUCUACUUUUUAGAUGUGAAAUAGAACUGUAAACUCAGUGUUCAGGUUGGUUCCACCAGGGUUAUCAAUCAACAUUGAGUGUGUGUGUGUGUGUGUGUGUGUGUGUGUGUGUGUGUGUGUGUGUGUGUGUGUGUGUGUGUGUGUGUGUGUGUGUGUGUGUGUGUGUGUGUGUGUGUGUGUGUGUGUGUGUGUGUGUGUGUGUGUGUGUGUGUGUGUGUGUGUGUGUGUGUGUGUGUGUGUGUGUGUGUGUGUGUGUGUCCGACCAGUAUCUUUGAGGGGCCAGGAGCUGAUCUACGCUGCUAUCCCCAUCAAUGGGGCUCUGGCAAAGACCUAAUUUCUUGCCUUCUCACCAACGGUUGUCAAUGGGGAGAACAGAAUUUGAUACCUGUAUGGAGCAAGACUUUCAAGAUGAUGGGAUGGAGUCCGGCGGGCUUGAUGCUGUCCGAAAUGGAGAGACCUUGCCCUCAGCAAUAAAAUUAUACAUUUUU
Molecule: long non-coding RNA, 2312 nt
Organism: Salmo salar (Atlantic salmon)
Lineage: Eukaryota; Metazoa; Chordata; Actinopteri; Salmoniformes; Salmonidae
Source: RefSeq, a predicted model, not a curated record